RNAcentral lists this ribosomal RNA (408 nucleotides) under uncultured bacterium. RNAcentral's name for it is "bacterial SSU rRNA". It matches the Rfam family "Bacterial small subunit ribosomal RNA", at positions 8 to 447 of the family's 1533-position model. The record is from RNAcentral.
AGAGUUUGAUCCUGGCUCAGAACGAACGCUGGCGGCAGGCUUAACACAUGCAAGUCGAACGCUCCGCAAGGAGAGUGGCAGACGGGUGAGUAACGCGUGGGAACAUACCCCUCGGUUCGGAAUAACUCAGGGAAACUUGAGCUAAUACCGAAUACGGUCGAGAGGCGAAAGAUUUAUCGCCGAGGGAUUGGCCCGCGUCCGAUUAGCUAGUUGGUGAGGUAAUGGCUCACCAAGGCGACGAUCGGUAGCUGGUCUGAGAGGAUGAUCAGCCACAUUGGGACUGAGACACGGCCCAAACUCCUACGGGAGGCAGCAGUGGGGAAUAUUGGACAAUGGGCGAAAGCCUGAUCCAGCCAUGCCGCGUGAGUGAUGACGGCCUUAGGGUUGUAAAGCUCUUCAUCAGGGACG